Molecule: ribosomal RNA, 460 nt
Filed under: uncultured bacterium
Lineage: Bacteria
Description: partial 16S ribosomal RNA
Rfam family: Bacterial small subunit ribosomal RNA
Source: RNAcentral
CCUACGUGAGGCAGCAGUGAGGAAUAUUGGUCAAUGGUCGCAGGGCUGAACCAGCCAAGUCGCGUGCGGGAUGACGGCCCUAUGGAUUGUAAACUGCUUUUGUCCGGGGGUAAAGUGCGUCACGUGUGAUGUUUUGCGUGUACCUCAUGAAUAAGGAUCGGCUAAAUCCGUGCCAGCAGCCGCGGUAAUACGGAGGGUCCGAGCGUUAUCCGGAUUUAUUGGGUUUAAAGGGAGCGUCGGCCGCAUGUUAAGCGCGCGGUGAAAUUCCGUGGCUCAAACGUCGCACUGCCGUUGAAACUGGCGUGCUUGAGUGAGCGGAAGGUAGGCGGAAUGCGUGGUGUAGCGGUGAAAUGCGUAGAUAUCACGCAGAACUCCGAUUGCGAAGGCAGCAUACGGGAGCGCAACUGACGCUCAAGCUCGAAGGCGUGGGUAUCGAACAGGAUUAGAUACCCGAGUAGUC